This 389-nucleotide ribosomal RNA is filed under the name uncultured bacterium. RNAcentral describes it as "bacterial SSU rRNA". It matches the Rfam family "Bacterial small subunit ribosomal RNA", at positions 29 to 432 of the family's 1533-position model. The record is from RNAcentral.
AACGAACGCUGGCGGCAGGCCUAACACAUGCAAGUCGAACGCGUGUAGCGAUACACGAGUGGCAGACGGGUGAGUAACGCGUGGGAACAUACCCUUUGGUUUGGAAUAACUCAGGGAAACUUGAGCUAAUACCAGAUACGCCCCCGGACUUGUUCCGGGGGGAAAGAUUGAUUUGCCGAGGGAUUGGCCCGCGUCCGAUUAGCUAGUUGGUGAGGUAACGGCUCACCAAGGCGACGAUCGGUAGCUGGCUGAGAGGAUGAUCAGCCACAUUGGGACUGAGACACGGCCCAAACUCCUACGGGAGGCAGCAGUGGGGAAUAUUGGACAAUGGGCNCAAGCCUGAUCCAGCCAUGCCGCGUGAGUGAUGACGGCCCUAGGGUUGUAAAGCU